AACGCGAAGAACCUUACCUGCCCUUGACAUCCUGCGAAGCCGGGAGAGACCCUGGUGUGCCGAAAGGAGCGCAGAGACAGGUGCUGCAUGGCUGUCGUCAGCUCGUGUUGUGAGAUGUUGGGUUAAGUCCCGUAACGAGCGCAACCCUUGCCCCUAGUUGCCAGCAUUUGGUUGGGGACUCUAGGGGGACUGCCGGUGAGGGAACCGGAGGAAGGCGGGGACGACGUCAAGUCAUCAUGGCCUUUAUGGGCAGGGCUACACACGUGCUACAAUGGGGCGUACAGAGGGUCGCGAACCCGCGAGGGGGAGCCAAUCCCGCAAAGCGCCUCGUAGUCCGGAUUGGAGUCUGCAACCCGACUCCAUGAAGCUGGAAUCGCUAGUAAUCGCGGAUCAGCAUUGCCGCGGUGAAUACGUUCCCGGGCCUUGUACACACCGCUCGUC
This 441-nucleotide ribosomal RNA is filed under the name uncultured bacterium. RNAcentral's name for it is "bacterial SSU rRNA". It matches the Rfam family "Bacterial small subunit ribosomal RNA", at positions 958 to 1398 of the family's 1533-position model. The record is from RNAcentral.